GACGAACGCUGGCGGCGUGCGUAAUACAUGCAAGUAGAACGCUGAAGGAGGAGCUUGCUUCUCUGGAUGAGUUGCGAACGGGUGAGUAACGCGUAGGUAACCUGCCUGGUAGCGGGGGAUAACUAUUGGAAACGAUAGCUAAUACCGCAUAAGAGUAGAUGUUGCAUGACAUUUGCUUAAAAGGUGCAAUUGCAUCACUACCAGAUGGACCUGCGUUGUAUUAGCUAGUUGGUGGGGUAACGGCUCACCAAGGCGACGAUACAUAGCCGACCUGAGAGGGUGAUCGGCCACACUGGGACUGAGACACGGCCCAGACUCCUACGGGAGGCAGCAGUAGGGAAUCUUCGGCAAUGGACGGAAGUCUGACCGAGCAACGCCGCGUGAGUGAAGAAGGUUUUCGGAUCGUAAAGCUCUGUUGUAAGAGAAGAACGAGUGUGAGAGUGGAAAGUUCACACUGUGACGGUAUCUUACCAGAAAGGGACGGCUAACUACGUGCCAGCAGCCGCGGUAAUACGUAGGUGGCAAGCGUUAUCCGGAUUUAUUGGGCGUAAAGAGAGUGCAGGCGGUUUUCUAAGUCUGAUGUGAAAGCCUUCGGCUUAACCGGAGAAGUGCAUCGGAAACUGGAUAACUUGAGUGCAGAAGAGGGUAGUGGAACUCCAUGUGUAGCGGUGGAAUGCGUAGAUAUAUGGAAGAACACCAGUGGCGAAGGCGGCUACCUGGUCUGCAACUGACGCUGAGACUCGAAAGCAUGGGUAGCGAACAGG
Molecule: ribosomal RNA, 764 nt
Filed under: uncultured Streptococcus sp.
Lineage: Bacteria; Bacillati; Bacillota; Bacilli; Lactobacillales; Streptococcaceae
Description: bacterial SSU rRNA
Rfam family: Bacterial small subunit ribosomal RNA
Source: RNAcentral